Molecule: ribosomal RNA, 398 nt
Filed under: uncultured bacterium
Lineage: Bacteria
Description: partial 16S ribosomal RNA
Rfam family: Bacterial small subunit ribosomal RNA
Source: RNAcentral
AUACGUAGGGUGCGAGCGUUGUCCGGAAUUACUGGGCGUAAAGAGCUCGUAGGUGGUUUGUCGCGUCGUCUGUGAAAUUCCGGGGCUUAACUCCGGGCGUGCAGGCGAUACGGGCAUAACUUGAGUACUGUAGGGGAGACUGGAAUUCCUGGUGUAGCGGUGAAAUGCGCAGAUAUCAGGAGGAACACCGGUGGCGAAGGCGGGUCUCUGGGCAGUAACUGACGCUGAGGAGCGAAAGCAUGGGUAGCGAACAGGAUUAGAUACCCUGGUAGUCCAUGCCGUAAACGGCGGGCGCUAGGUGUAGGGGUCUUCCACGACUUCUGUGCCGUAGCUAACGCAUUAAGCGCCCCGCCUGGGGAGUACGGCCGCAAGGCUAAAACUCAAAUGAAUUGACGGGG